RNAcentral lists this ribosomal RNA (303 nucleotides) under uncultured bacterium. RNAcentral describes it as "partial 16S ribosomal RNA". It matches the Rfam family "Bacterial small subunit ribosomal RNA", at positions 507 to 807 of the family's 1533-position model. The record is from RNAcentral.
AGCAGUCGCCACGGGAAUACGAAGGGGGCUAGCGUUGCUCGGAAUCACUGGGCGUAAAGGGUGCGUAGGCGGGUCUUUAAGUCGGAGGUGAAAUCCUGGAGCUCAACUCCAGAACUGCCUUUGAUACUGAGGAUCUUGAGUUCGGGAGAGGUGAGUGGAACUGCGAGUGUAGAGGUGAAAUUCGUAGAUAUUCGCAAGAACACCAGUGGCGAAGGCGGCUUACUGGCCCAUUACUGACGCUGAGGCUCGAAAGCGUGGGGAGCAAACAGGAUUAGAUACCCCCGUAGUCCCUGUCUCUUAUAC